This 543-nucleotide ribosomal RNA is filed under the name uncultured bacterium. Its description in RNAcentral is "bacterial SSU rRNA". It matches the Rfam family "Bacterial small subunit ribosomal RNA", at positions 355 to 907 of the family's 1533-position model. The record is from RNAcentral.
UGGGGUAUAUUGGACAAUGGGCGGAAGCCUGAUCCAGCAACGCCGCGUGAGGGAUGACGGCCUUCGGGUUGUAAACCUCUUUCGGUAGGGACGAAGCGAAAGUGACGGUACCUACAAAAGAAGGACCGGCCAACUACGUGCCAGCAGCCGCGGUAAUACGUAGGGUCCGAGCGUUGUCCGGAAUUAUUGGGCGUAAAGGGCUCGUAGGCGGUUUGUCGCGUCGGGAGUGAAAACACCGGGCUUAACUCGGUGCUUGCUUUCGAUACGGGCAGACUGGAGGUAUGCAGGGGAGAACGGAAUUCCUGGUGUAGCGGUGAAAUGCGCAGAUAUCAGGGGGAACACCGGUGGCGAAGGCGGUUCUCUGGGCAUGACCUGACGCUGAGGAGCGAAAGUGUGGGGAGCGAACAGGAUUAGAUACCCUGGUAGUCCACACCGUAAACGUUGGGCGCUAGGUGUGGGACCUAUUCCAUGGGUUCCGUGCCGCAGCUAACGCAUUAAGCGCCCCCGCCUGGGGAGUACGGCCGCAAGGCUGAAACUCAAAGG